Long non-coding RNA from Oncorhynchus keta (chum salmon), 792 nucleotides. RefSeq lists it as uncharacterized. NCBI's taxonomy places the organism in Eukaryota, Metazoa, Chordata, Actinopteri, Salmoniformes, Salmonidae. The record is from RefSeq and is a predicted model, not a curated record. The transcript is spliced from 2 exons.
UGUUUUUGUUCCAGAGUGGAGAGGUGGACUGCUGGCCCAUGUCCUGCCCUCCAGUGGUGGACUGUGAGUUUACCCAGGUGCCCGAGGGGCAGUGCUGCCCGCGCUGCAUCACCGACCCCUGCCAGGCUGACACCGUCCGUAACGACAUCACCAAGACGUGUGUAGACGAGAACGGACUGACGCGCUUCAGCGGAGCCACCUGGACCAAACACAGAACAGAAUGCACCCUCUGCCAGUGCAAGAACGGACAUGUCUGUUGUUCAGUGGACCCUCUGUGCCUCUAGUCUGGCUCAAACAGAAAGAUAGUGAGAGCGAGCUCUACAAGGCAUCUAUCUUUGUACAGUCUCACCUUUAAUAAGAACUGAAACCCCUCCCCCAAACCUUCAACAUCUUUAUACCAAAUACCACCUGAACCCACCGUUCCAAGUGGAUGGAUGGCCUGCCGGCGCAACUCCAACCCUUGGUACCCAUCGACAGACUAUUGGAUGGUAUUGGAUGUUGUGAAAUAAAGUCUUCUGAUUGUGUAAAGAAACCUAAAGAAGUAUCUGUAUUCAGUGUUCACCUCUUUCUGCCCGUCUUUCACUUUGUAAAGGAAAAGGACCUUGGUAUUUGUGAAAAGUAAUGUUCUGGACUUUCUCCACUCCUUUUCUGUGUCCAUUCAGUUGUGUUGUUUGGUUCUGUAUUAUGGACUGUUUGUUCAGGGUUUAAUUGAAUUGAUUUGAUGGCUUGGUAUGGUGUAUUGAUGAAAUAAAGAUAUCCAUUAAAAAGGGGGACUGGUUGUCCCUCUCUGUA